GACGGUAUAGUUCAGUAGUAGAGAGUGUGCCUAGCAAACAUGAGGUCCUGGGUUCAAUCCCCAGUACCUCCU
This 72-nucleotide transfer RNA is filed under the name Camelus bactrianus (Bactrian camel). It matches the Rfam family "tRNA". Rfam says of the family: Transfer RNA (tRNA) molecules are approximately 80 nucleotides in length. Their secondary structure includes four short double-helical elements and three loops (D, anti-codon, and T loops). Further hydrogen bonds mediate the characteristic L-shaped molecular structure. tRNAs have two regions of fundamental functional importance: the anti-codon, which is responsible for specific mRNA codon recognition, and the 3' end, to which the tRNAs corresponding amino acid is attached (by aminoacyl-tRNA synthetases). tRNAs cope with the degeneracy of the genetic code in two manners: having more than one tRNA (with a specific anti-codon) for a particular amino acid; and 'wobble' base-pairing, i.e. permitting non-standard base-pairing at the 3rd anti-codon position. RNAcentral also lists the same sequence under 1 other name. The record is from Rfam by way of RNAcentral. Lineage: Eukaryota; Metazoa; Chordata; Mammalia; Artiodactyla; Camelidae.